RNAcentral lists this long non-coding RNA (370 nucleotides) under Elaeis guineensis (African oil palm). RNAcentral describes it as "long non-coding RNA (EGUI_LNC021104)". Lineage: Eukaryota; Viridiplantae; Streptophyta; Magnoliopsida; Arecales; Arecaceae. The record is from RNAcentral.
ACCGCCAUCAAGCUUUCCUUGGCCUCAAACCUGACAUUCCAGGUGAUUACUUUAGAAUGGAUCGACUGGCACAUGGACCGGUAGGAUACCUAAAUCGAUCAUUGAGAUAGAGAUCGGUGCCGCAACUUUAUUAAUGCUCCUUCAGAAAAAGAAAGAGACUAAGAUCAAGAUUAAAAGGAUAAGGGGGUGCUUUCUUAAUGUCCCAACAUGUCGGACGGCAGAGGAUAUACUUAAAUGCUUCUAACAUUGAUCAUAAACUCGCUUGGCAUGCAAUGCACCGUAAAAAAGACGGUGAGGAGACGUGGCGUAUAACUAAUGAGCAGAGUGACACGACUAGAUGGUGAGGCCUAUCAGGCCUACAGGAGGGGGG